RNAcentral lists this ribosomal RNA (1041 nucleotides) under fungal endophyte. RNAcentral describes it as "eukaryotic LSU rRNA". The stretch from base 456 to 1041 matches the Rfam family "Eukaryotic large subunit ribosomal RNA", at positions 1 to 603 of the family's 3401-position model. The record is from RNAcentral. Lineage: Eukaryota; Fungi.
GAGUGAGGGCCCACCGGCCCGACCUCCAACCCUUUGUGAACCAGAACUUGUUGCUUCGGGGGCGACCCUGCCGUUCGCGGCGGCCGGCGCCCCCGGAGGAUCCCCAACACUGCAUCUUUGCGUCGGAGUCUUACACAAAUGAAACAAAACUUUCAACAACGGAUCUCUUGGUUCUGGCAUCGAUGAAGAACGCAGCGAAAUGCGAUAAGUAAUGUGAAUUGCAGAAUUCAGUGAAUCAUCGAAUCUUUGAACGCACAUUGCGCCCCGUGGUAUUCCGCGGGGCAUGCCUGUUCGAGCGUCAUUUCACCACUCGAGUCUGACUCGGUAUUGGGGGCCGCGACCCGUUCGCGCCCCUUAAAGUCUCCGGCUGGGCAGCCCGUCUCCGAGCGUUGUGGCAUCACAGUCUCGCUAGGGAGUCGCGGGCGGCAUCGGCCGUUAAACACCCCAUCAAAGGUUGACCUCGGAUCAGGUAGGGAUACCCGCUGAACUUAAGCAUAUCAAUAAGCGGAGGAAAAGAAACCAACAGGGAUUGCCCUAGUAACGGCGAGUGAAGCGGCAACAGCUCAAAUUUGAAAUCUGGCGCAAGCCCGAGUUGUAAUUUGCAGAGGAUGCUUCUGGGCAGCGGCCGUUCUAAGUCUCUUGGAACAGGGCGUCAUAGAGGGUGAGAAUCCCGUAUGUGACCGGCGCGCACCCUCCACGUAGCUCCUUCGACGAGUCGAGUUGUUUGGGAAUGCAGCUCUAAAUGGGAGGUAAAUUUCUUCUAAAGCUAAAUACCGGCCAGAGACCGAUAGCGCACAAGUAGAGUGAUCGAAAGAUGAAAAGCACUUUGGAAAGAGAGUUAAAAAGCACGUGAAAUUGUUGAAAGGGAAGCGCUUGCAACCAGACUUCGCGGCGGUGUUCCGCCGGUCUUUUGACCGGUCCACUCGCCGCCGCGAGGCCAACAUCGUCUGGGGCCGCCGGAUAAGACCAUGGGAAUGUGGCUCCCUCGGGAGUGUUAUAGCCCACGGUGAUGCGGCGCGUCUCGGGCGAGGUCCGCGCUCG